This 433-nucleotide ribosomal RNA is filed under the name uncultured bacterium. RNAcentral's name for it is "partial 16S ribosomal RNA". It matches the Rfam family "Bacterial small subunit ribosomal RNA", at positions 29 to 507 of the family's 1533-position model. The record is from RNAcentral.
AGCGAACGCUGGCGGCAGGCCUAACACAUGCAAGUCGAACGAACUCUUCGGAGUUAGUGGCGGACGGGUGAGUAACACGUGGGAACGUGCCUUUAGGUUCGGAAUAACUCAGGGAAACUUGUGCUAAUACCGAAUGUGCCCUUCGGGGGAAAGAUUUAUCGCCUUUAGAGCGGCCCGCGUCUGAUUAGCUAGUUGGUGAGGUAAAGGCACACCAAGGCGACGAUCAGUAGCUGGUCUGAGAGGAUGAUCAGGCACGUUGGGACUGAGACACGGCCCAAACUCGGACGCGAGGCAGCAGUGGGGAAUCUAGCGGAAGGGGCGAAAGUGUGACACAGCCAUGCGGCGGGAAUGAUGAAGGUCUUAGGAUUGUAAAAUUCUUUGUGCGGGGACGAGAAUGACGGUACCGGGAGAAGAAGCACCGGCUAACUACGUG